AUGGGACUCAGUGAAGCUCCAGGCACUUUCCAAGGAGCAAUGAACACCACACUGUCUUCAGUUAAUAGGAAAAAUGCUUUGGUCUUCUUUGAUGACAUAUUGAUCCUCAGCAAAUCCUAUCAGGAGCACUUGCAACAUGUUAGAGAGGUGUUGGCCCUACUCAGAGCUGAUCAAUGGAAGGUGAAAAUGUCCAAAUGUGCUUUUGCUCAAUAG
Molecule: ribosomal RNA, 213 nt
Filed under: Triticum aestivum (bread wheat)
Lineage: Eukaryota; Viridiplantae; Streptophyta; Magnoliopsida; Poales; Poaceae
Description: partial small subunit ribosomal RNA
Source: RNAcentral